RNAcentral lists this ribosomal RNA (496 nucleotides) under uncultured bacterium. RNAcentral's name for it is "partial 16S ribosomal RNA". It matches the Rfam family "Bacterial small subunit ribosomal RNA", at positions 28 to 506 of the family's 1533-position model. The record is from RNAcentral.
GAUGAACGCUGGCGGCGUGCCUAAUACAUGCAAGUCGAGCGAACGGACGAGAAGCUUGCUUCUCUGAUGUUAGCGGCGGACGGGUGAGUAACACGUGGAUAACCUACCUAUAAGACUGGGAUAACUUCGGGAAACCGUAGCUAAUACCGGAUAAUAUUUUGAACCGCAUGGUUCAAAAGUGAAAGACGGUCUUGCUGUCACUUAUAGAUGGAUCCGCGCUGCAUUAGCUAGUUGGUAAGGUAACGGCUUACCAAGGCAACGAUGCAUAGCCGACCUGAGAGGGUGAUCGGCCACACUGGAACUUAGACACGGUCCAGACUCCUACGGGAGGCAGCAGUAGGGAAUCUUCCGCAAUGGGCGAAAGCCUGACGGAGCAACGCCGCGUGAGUGAUGAAGGUCUUCGGAUCGUAAAACUCUGUUAUUAGGGAAGAACAUAUGUGUAAGUAACUGUGCACAUCUUGACGGGACCUAAUCAGAAAGCCACGGCUAACUACGU